RNAcentral lists this ribosomal RNA (254 nucleotides) under uncultured bacterium. Its description in RNAcentral is "partial 16S ribosomal RNA". It matches the Rfam family "Bacterial small subunit ribosomal RNA", at positions 524 to 776 of the family's 1533-position model. The record is from RNAcentral.
UACGGGGGGAGCAAGCGUUGUUCGGAUUUACUGGGCGUAAAGGGCGCGUAGGCGGCCACCGCAAGUCGGUUGUGAAAUCUCUGGGCUUAACCCAGAAAGGUCAACCGAUACUGCGGGGCUAGAGUGCAGAAGGGGCAACUGGAAUUCUCGGUGUAGCGGUGAAAUGCGUAGAUAUCGAGAGGAACACCUGCGGCGAAGGCGGGUUGCGGGGCUGACACUGACGCUGAAGCGCGAAAGCUAGGGGAGCGAACGGG